AUGGGCUUCCGAUCUCUUCUCGCCCUGAGCGGCCUUGUCUGCAACGGGUUGGCAAAUGUGAUUUCCAAGCGCGCGACCUUGGAUUCAUGGUUGAGCAACGAAGCGACCGUGGCUCGUACUGCCAUCCUGAAUAACAUCGGGGCGGACGGUGCUUGGGUGUCGGGCGCGGACUCUGGCAUUGUCGUUGCUAGUCCCAGCACGGAUAACCCGGACUGUAUGUUUCGAGCUCAGAUUUAGUAUGAGUGUGUCAUUGAUUGAUUGAUGCUGACUGGCGUGUCGUUUGUUGUAGACUUCUACACCUGGACUCGCGACUCUGGUCUCGUCCUCAAGACCCUCGUCGAUCUCUUCCGAAAUGGAGAUACCAGUCUCCUCUCCACCAUUGAGAACUACAUCUCCGCCCAGGCAAUUGUCCAGGGUAUCAGUAACCCCUCUGGUGAUCUGUCCAGCGGCGCUGGUCUCGGUGAACCCAAGUUCAAUGUCGAUGAGACUGCCUACACUGGUUCUUGGGGACGGCCGCAGCGAGAUGGUCCGGCUCUGAGAGCAACUGCUAUGAUCGGCUUCGGGCAGUGGCUGCUUGUAUGUUCUCCACCCCCUUGCGUCUGAUCUGUGACAUAUGUAGCUGACUGGUCAGGACAAUGGCUACACCAGCACCGCAACGGACAUUGUUUGGCCCCUCGUUAGGAACGACCUGUCGUAUGUGGCUCAAUACUGGAACCAGACAGGAUAUGGUGUGUUUGUUUUAUUUUAAAUUUCCAAAGAUGCGCCAGCAGAGCUAACCCGCGAUCGCAGAUCUCUGGGAAGAAGUCAAUGGCUCGUCUUUCUUUACGAUUGCUGUGCAACACCGCGCCCUUGUCGAAGGUAGUGCCUUCGCGACGGCCGUCGGCUCGUCCUGCUCCUGGUGUGAUUCUCAGGCACCCGAAAUUCUCUGCUACCUGCAGUCCUUCUGGACCGGCAGCUUCAUUCUGGCCAACUUCGAUAGCAGCCGUUCCGGCAAGGACGCAAACACCCUCCUGGGAAGCAUCCACACCUUUGAUCCUGAGGCCGCAUGCGACGACUCCACCUUCCAGCCCUGCUCCCCGCGCGCGCUCGCCAACCACAAGGAGGUUGUAGACUCUUUCCGCUCAAUCUAUACCCUCAACGAUGGUCUCAGUGACAGCGAGGCUGUUGCGGUGGGUCGGUACCCUGAGGACACGUACUACAACGGCAACCCGUGGUUCCUGUGCACCUUGGCUGCCGCAGAGCAGUUGUACGAUGCUCUAUACCAGUGGGACAAGCAGGGGUCGUUGGAGGUCACAGAUGUGUCGCUGGACUUCUUCAAGGCACUGUACAGCGAUGCUGCUACUGGCACCUACUCUUCGUCCAGUUCGACUUAUAGUAGCAUUGUAGAUGCCGUGAAGACUUUCGCCGAUGGCUUCGUCUCUAUUGUGGUAAGUCUACGCUAGACAAGCGCUCAUGUUGACAGAGGGUGCGUACUAACAGAAGUAGGAAACUCACGCCGCAAGCAACGGCUCCAUGUCCGAGCAAUACGACAAGUCUGAUGGCGAGCAGCUUUCCGCUCGCGACCUGACCUGGUCUUAUGCUGCUCUGCUGACCGCCAACAACCGUCGUAACUCCGUCGUGCCUGCUUCUUGGGGCGAGACCUCUGCCAGCAGCGUGCCCGGCACCUGUGCGGCCACAUCUGCCAUUGGUACCUACAGCAGUGUGACUGUCACCUCGUGGCCGAGUAUCGUGGCUACUGGCGGCACCACUACGACGGCUACCCCCACUGGAUCCGGCAGCGUGACCUCGACCAGCAAGACCACCGCGACUGCUAGCAAGACCAGCACCAGUACGUCAUCAACCUCCUGUACCACUCCCACGGCGCCGUAA
Molecule: unclassified non-coding RNA, 1869 nt
Filed under: synthetic construct
Description: Glucoamylase gene (encoding GII form only) from A.niger
Source: RNAcentral